AGCCAGUGUGGUAUAGUGUUUUGAGCGUUGGAUUGUGACUCUAGAGACCGGGGUUCGAAUCCCAGCUUGGCUA
Non-coding RNA from Phrynosoma platyrhinos (Desert horned lizard), 73 nucleotides. The record is from the annotation of a GenBank genome assembly. NCBI's taxonomy places the organism in Eukaryota, Metazoa, Chordata, Lepidosauria, Squamata, Phrynosomatidae.